CGAGACGACCAAUGUGUAGUAACACGACUGCUUUCCGCAGUAACAACAUUUAAAAAAUAGUUAUGAUGGUUCCAGUUUCGUUAAGUACCUUUUCUACUGAUGCCAUGAUGCAAACGAGAUAGAAAAAUAAGACAUGACUUGUACGUUACUGCUCUCUAAAGAUUGAGAUUUAGAUUUUUUUUAGCUCUACAAAAACAUUAUUACCAUAGUGUCACUGUUACUAUGCAUGUUCUCUGUUACUGCAAAUUUCGCCAUAUCGUUAUUACCAACCGUGCAGUAACAACAUAUAAAUUUUGCAGUAACAACACAUAAAUUUGGCAGUAACAUAUCAUGUUACUACCCUUCUGGGAUAAUGUUACUGCCGAAUCAUAGUAACGAAGGUAUGAUUAUUACAGCAACAUAACUGAUUUGUUCUCACACAAUUUGAACAUAUAUACAAAGCAUGCAAACAAUAUUUUCUAUUCACAUAACAUCAUGUGGUGAAUUGGUUAGGAGAGUUUGCCAUGAACCAUGAGAUCAUAGGUUCAAGUCUUAAUUUCACCAAUUUUUUUUAAAUUUUUCUAAUAAAAGAGAGAAGAAUAGGAGGAAAAAAGAGAGAAUGGAGGGAGAGAAAAACGAAGAAAAAAAAUAGAGGAGGGCGCUAGGAGGAGAAAAAGCGAAGAAAAAAGAGGGCUCUGCCCGGGAUCGAUCGGGAGGAGGAGAAAAGAGUGAAGAAAAUCGAGGGCAAGGGAGGAGGAGGAGGGCGGCGCCGGGAGAAGGAAGAAAAAGAAAAAAAAAGUAGAGGAAGAGGCGCCAUGAUCGGGAGGAGAAAAGAGCGAAGAAAAUCGAGGGCAAGGGAGGAGGAGGGCGGCGCCGGGAGAAGGAAG
RNAcentral lists this small RNA (866 nucleotides) under Oryza sativa Japonica Group (Japanese rice). RNAcentral describes it as "sRNA Os07g0299701". The record is from RNAcentral. Lineage: Eukaryota; Viridiplantae; Streptophyta; Magnoliopsida; Poales; Poaceae.